Symphalangus syndactylus (siamang) is the source of this 3532-nucleotide long non-coding RNA. RefSeq lists it as uncharacterized. The record is from RefSeq and is a predicted model, not a curated record. Lineage: Eukaryota; Metazoa; Chordata; Mammalia; Primates; Hylobatidae.
UCUCCCCAGGAUUUAAGAUCAUGCCGCUCUUGUUUUGGGCUUUUUCAGGACAGUUAACUCUCAGGAAGAGGGGGACCUCCAAACCUCUAAGUCGCCAAACCACCGGACCGCCCUGGGUGGAAGAAACCGCUUCGGCAGCAGAGGAAGCAACAGCUUCGCAGAGCAGCCCGGCCCGAGUGGCUACGCAGGGUCUGUCUGGUCUCAGCUGUGGCCUCUGAGUCAUUAGCGUGUUUUUCUUCUGAGGCCAGGGCCCUCCUGUUUCCUGGCUGAUGAAGCAGGUGGAAGAAACACAAUCUGGCCGCCCAGAGGCUGCGUGAAGCCCACGACCCUGCGGGGUGACCACCGGAGCUCAGCUGGGUGGGACCGGAAACCACCUCUGGGCACUCCUGAGUCACAGGCACAGGAGCUUUCGCCUCCGCCUUCAGGCUGGCCCCCAGGCUUCCCUGCUCAGAGGCACAGAAUUGUGCAGCCGGAGUUUCGUUUUCCAAGAGGCAGGGUCUCAGUCUGUCACCCAGGCUGGAGUACAGUGGCACCAUUUUGGCUCACUGUAGCCUCGACCUCCUGGGCUCAAGUGAGCCUCCUACCUCAACCUCCGAAAAUGCUGGGAUUACAAGCAUGAACCACUGUGACUUGCCUUCUUGGCAAUUUUAAAUGAAAGAAGAAGAUGGAAUAAUGCCUACUGACGAUUAUGUUUGAAGGGUGUUUUAUGACCCCGUUUUCCAUACCCAGCCAACUUGUCAUUCAUGUGACAAGUCCACAGAAAGAUGUUAUAUGGCCGGGAAUCUAUGAACUAUGUCAUUCAUUUAUUCAGUCUUCCCUACAAUGUACCUGACUACAGCUAACAUCAUAUCACAUGAUGAAAGACCGCGUUGCUUUCCCCUGAGGUUGGCAGAAAGCUGUAGACGAGCAUGCGCACUUCCACACCUAGAAGGGAACAGCUGCCUCCGAGUGGCUCGCCUCUUUGCACAAGGGGCUCAGCUCAGAGCUUCCCCUAACCCUGGCAGGUCCCCCCGACACUUCUCUUGGGAAUGAAGUGGACAAGCUGUGGGUGAUUCGGAUGGUCUGUUGGUGGAAUGUGGAGCUGGAUGGGUCAAGGAGCAAAGUGUGGAAAGAGGGACAAUUUGCUACAAGUUGGAGGUAAGAGACAUGGCAUACUGUGAAACCAGUGCUGACGGAAGAAGGCGACUUUCUUGGAAGGUCAAGAUAUUUGCUUGACAGCGAUGUCCAGGAGGGCUAGGGAGAGUUCUGCUGGAAGUGAAGGCAGCACCUGAGGGUGGCUGAGGGAACUGGGUGGGGCUGGGAAUGCCUCCAGCCCUUUGAGGAAUGAUUAGGUGAUUAAGAGAUGUUUGGCCUUGAAAAUUGCAAGAAUGAAAUCCCUUCGUGGGAAUGUGUAGCCGAAAGCCAGCACCCUGAGUGGCUCCAAGGUUUGGGGACCCUCUCAAGGCACAAAUCCCAGUUCCUUUUCAAUUUUGAAAAUCGCUGUGGGCGAUUCUGGAAUUCAGAAGUGUGCUGAGAGCCACGGAUUUGACAUGACAAGCAUUUCCGCCCCUUCCUCACUGAGCCUACCGCACAUGCUUCAGGGCCAGGGACUUACUUGGGCUUCUGCGUAUCUUCCACAGCGUGCAUCAAUCCGCCAGGCUCUGGUUGGUGUUUAAAAAAAAAGAUGCAGUGAAGGAAUCUGGUGUGGACAAAUGCCCUGGGCAUGGACCAGAAGCCUGGCCCCUGUGUCCCUGGCAAUGGGACGGUGAAGGACAGAAAGACAGCACAUCCAGUAGUGUCAGGAGCUUGGAGCAGGCAUUCGGAAGCAUCUGUUAAAUGUUAUUGAUGGAGGAUUGACAUAACCCACAUCUGCAUAGCUUUUUUGGUCUUUUUUUGGAAGUGAACAGUCACAAACAAAAACAACUUUGGUUCAGGUCAUUUACAGGCCCAGAUCCUCUAUCCUUCGAGGUUUCCCACCAGAUAUACUAUUUCACUAUCUACACCAGGAAAGUUACAUAAAACCACGCAGAAUUUUACCUGACAACGAAAUAGACCUUUUCGUUAGAUCCUCCACCCCACCUAAAGAAGUUACACAGGCUGAAAUGAAAUUGUUAAAGGAAUGAACUAAUUUGGAGAUAGAAUCAUUGCCUUUGCUGAACAACAUUUUAAGAAUGUGGGAAUAGGUAGGGGUACUAGCAUAAUAGUAAAAUGUGCCCAUAUUAUCUAUAAUUUUAUUCUGGGCACUUUUUAGAAAUUAUUUUUUAUAACUUUGCCUUUGAGAUGAUUUGGCUACAAGUUCAUUACAUUUCAUUUACAACUGGCUUUGAUUUCUUGGCAUUCAUUGUGUAUUAUUAGGAAACCCCACAGAGAGAAAAUGUAAACUCCAAAUUGCUUUAAAAUAUUAUAUUUUUUAGAGAUAUUAUACUAUGACAGUGAAUGAAAUGGACAUAACGUUCCAUUUUGUAGAUAUUUCAUGAAAUCUUUAUUAGUCUUGAUUUUCUUUGGAACAAGUCAUUCCUGUUCUGGGCUGAAGUAUGAAAAUUCCCUGCCCUGUGACCCUGGCCCAAGUCUCCUCUUGGAUAAAACAGUGUUUCCUGGACCAGAGGGCAAAGUCACAGAAACAUGAUGUGACGAAAUCUAAAUAGAAAGGUAUUGAUUUGUUCUUCGUUCAUCAAAUAGUUAUUGGACUCCAGUACGUAUGAGUAGCAGGGAGCCUGGCUAGCACUAUACCUUCCCUUCCUGCCUUUCAGAGUCAGGGCCACAGGCACACACAGACCCAGGGAAAAUGAGGGGGCAGAGAGGCUGGUCCUGAGGCUCCAGCCCUUCUCUCCCAAUUCUCUCCCUGAGUGGGCAGGGGACUCUUCUCCUUGGGCGGAGAAGUCAACCUCAUUGACUUCGCCAAUUUCCAUCAACAUCUACCCUUGGAUCUGGUUUUAAACUCUAAGGUGUAAAUGACUCAUAAUGGCUCAACAUUUUGCCCCUCCCAGGAGGUACUUUUAAGUCUAAGGAAUAAAGAUUUAAUAGUAAAACUUCGAAUGCCAAUUGGGGGUAAGUGAGGAUUUGGAAGAGGAAAGUCUUAAGCAUUUUCCUAACACUCCUAAAAUCAUCCCAUUGAGUUAGGGCAGCAGCUAUCCUGAUGGGUUGGGUAUGAUGGAAGUUAGUCAAUGUUUCAAUGGAUGGAUGGAUGGAUGGAUGGAUGGAUGGAUGGAUGGAUGGAUGGAUGGACUAAUGGACAGACGGAUGGAUGGAUGGAUAGAUGGGUAGAUGGAUGGAUAGAUCACCUUUAUUCUGAUCUCAACUGGUCUUUGAAGCUUGAUUCAUUUUUUGAUUUCUCAUGGAGCCAGACUAGGGUCUGACACAUUAGGAAGCUGGCAAAAGUUUGUUGACUAAACAAAUUAAUGAAGGGAAAAUUAUGUAUGCAGAGAUGCCUGGGGUUUGGGUUACCGUUUUGGGUCCCCUUUGAUUUGAGCGACACAUAUGCUGACAACUUGAGUCUGCAGUUAGUGGAUCCUUAGCUAACUUGCUAGAGUAAAUAAAGGUCGUGGUAAAACUU